Long non-coding RNA from Chelonia mydas (Green sea turtle), 3237 nucleotides. RefSeq lists it as uncharacterized. Lineage: Eukaryota; Metazoa; Chordata; Testudines; Cheloniidae. The record is from RefSeq and is a predicted model, not a curated record. The transcript is spliced from 3 exons.
CGGACAGAGAGAGAUUCUUCCCCCCACUGGGGGAGGCGGAGUAACUGCGCCAACAGCAGAAUCCCUCGGGCUGCAGGACUUGCUGCGGCAGCCCAGCCGUGCCAGGCACUGGGGUGUUUUCAGUGGGGUGCACAAGCCCCAGGGGAGAAGCAAUCUCUCCGAGCAGGGAGGGGGGAGGAGGAACCGACUCUUGGAGCCGGGCCAGGGCAGAGACAGAGCAGGAAGGGGGCAGGAGGAGCAGGGAGGAACAGACUCGCAGGGCGGGGAGGAGGAGGAACCGACUCUCGGAGCAGGGCCAGGGCAGAGACAGAGCAGGAAGGGGGCAGGAGGAGCAGGGAGGAACAGACUCGCAGGGCGGGGAGGAGGAGGAACCGACUCUCGGAGCAGGGCCAGGGCAGAGACAGAGCAGGAAGGGGGCAGGAGGAGCAGGGAGGAACAGACUCGCAGGGCGGGGAGGAGGAGGAACCGACUCUCGGAGCAGGGCCAGGGCGAGGAGGAUCCGAGCGUGGGGAGGAGGAACAGACUCACAGGGCGGGGAGGAGCGGAGCGGAGGCGGGGGAGCGGCGCGGAGGCUGGGUGGGUGUCUCCCCAUCACUUGUAAAGGGCUGUCAGGACAGGCUGCCGCACUAAGGGGGCGUGAGCGGGUAACCCCCGAGCUCUUGCGCGGCUGCUUUGCUCUGCGCUCCUUCUGCCCGGCUCCCCGGGGCGCCCCCUGGGACCAGACAUCCCCGCGGGGACAUUCUCCAUCCCUGGCUGACCCCACGGGCUGCGGCGGCUUCCCCAGCCCGGUGCAAGGCGGACCGGGGCGUGACAAACCCCUGGAGCGCUGAGAUCCGGGUCAGGCGCUGUCUCUUUGACAGGGGAUCUGGAGGAGACCUGCUGAUGGGGGCUGGGGCAGGGUUGAAAGGCUCACAGAGUAUUUCCCUGACACACACACACACACCCCCAUGCUAUGAAAACUCCAGGGCGGGGUUGAACAUAUUUACCGGAGCUCCCCCCUGGGCUGGGGCGAUGGUGUCUGUAAAUCGCAUGGUUUUCGGGGUGGAGAUUAUGUAAUUUCCCUGCAUCCGCACUGGUAAUAGCUCUCGGGUAGCUCUCGCAAGCCAUUUUAAUUAACAGCAGGAGACCACAACGCCCCACAACCCUGGAGAUCAGCUCACCCGGGGAAGCUGCCGAGGCUGGAGGAGCCGGGGUUGGGAUCCCCUGCAGCUGCCUGGGAUGGACACUGGGGCCUUGGAAGAAACCGCUGACCGCGAGAGGGGCGCUGAUCCCAGCCCAGUGCCCGCAGGACACAGCUGUGUCCGUCACCGAGAGAGGCGGCUCGGAGUGCGCGCCCCUGACCACGACCUGCCCUGGAGCAGCCCCCCGGUGGCCAUGCAGACCCAGAGAGACUGUGGGAGCCAGGUUAUCAACAUAAACGCCAGUUCAGGAAACACAGCUACACAUGGAGUGAAUUGGCAAUCUUGCCCAUCACCCUAGUUACUCCAGCAGGAGUCACAUCUGACUGCGGAGUUGGGGUGCAGAGCCCUCUGGCUUCCCCCGGAGCCCCGCCUGUGCGGACUCGCUGCGGGAAGCGCACGGUGUGAGAAGGGGAUGCUGAAUGCUCCGAGGCAGACCCAGGAAGGUCGAAGCAGUGUAAGCUUCUUGCCCUGGAGACAGCAUGCUCAUGGAGAGGUGUCUCCCCCAGAGUCCUGACUGGCUUCAUAUGGAGUAGUUCCCUUUGGCUGCUCCGCGCACCACUGCUCAUACCGCACCCUCUGCAAGGACCUGGGGCCCGGUCAGCUGGGGCGGGUUCCAAGUUAAAUGUUACUGUUUCCCAGCAGUCCAAGCAAACUGGAGCUGCAGCCAGAGCCACUGCUCUUCCCUCAGUGCCUCCUUGGCUGGGAUCGACGGUGAGCAGGGCGCAGUGAGAGAAACACACAGAUGCUUCUGUCGUCACAACAGCCUGGGCCUGGCAACGACUGGCAGGGCUGGAAUCAGGCUGGGCUCAGUCCAUGUGGCUGGGAGGUCAGAGUGAUGAGACUCACCUGCCUGCCCUUAAAGCCUAGAUGGGUGAAUCCCCCUCUGUAGGGCCAGGCCAGUUGAGUCUGCUGUUAUCCUUGUAUGACCAUGAGAAGCGGGGAAGGGGGUAUCCCACUGAGGGUGAGGCCUCCUUUCAUGCUAAGCCUUCCCUUUGAGGCUCCCUGCCCUGCUGCGGUGGGAGAGAGCACAGACUCCCCGGGCACAGAGUCCUGUGCGACAGGGACCAGUGAGCAGGGUUGGAUACCUGCUCUCCCUCUGCUUUCCUUAUUUCCCCCAGGUUUUCAUGCUGUGCUACGAGGGUUUCCCUGAUCACUGGAUCGGCCUCCGGAGGACCCAGGCCAGCCCUGGAAAUGGGCCACUGGCACUGAAUUCGAGCCUAGGCGAGUUCCUCCUUCCUGGUUCCUGAUGCCAGAGCGAAGGGGAAGGAGAGGGAUUGAAUCCAGGGCUUCUGUGCUGCUGCCAUGCCAUCUCUUGCCUGGGACUGGGGAGAAGGUGGAGGCGUGAAAGGGCCUUUGCAAGCCCGGGGAGAGCGAGAGUCCUGGGAUAAAAGUGCCCGUUCAGUCCAUGGUUUUUAGUGUGCAGCAAAGUUAUGAAUGCAAGCGCCAGGCUCGGCUUUGGAAGGUGUCAGGCAGGUUUCCUUUGAGGACAGGGUGGAAAGAUCAGACCUGGAGUGAGCGCUGUGUGACAAGCGCUUGCCCACGGGUGACAGUGUUUUUUGUCGGUAUCGUUUGGUCCAGUAAAAGCUGUUACCUCUCAGGCAACGUUGGCUGGAAGGGACCAGUAUGCAGGGAAGGGGCAGAGGUGGAUUAAGGUCUCCUGGGCCAGAGCAAGUGGGGGGCCCCUCCCUGCCCCUUCUGCCUGUGGUCCUACCUCUGUUCUCCCCCUUUGGCUUGCGGCCCCAUCCCAUUCCAUCCCUUUUCCAUGGCCCUGGCCCUGUUUCUCCCAUGGUUCCUCCCCAACAAAUCAAGACAUUGCAUCGGAGUGGUUUUUCCAAGCUUGCUCCAGUUGGGGAUUCACAUGAUGAUUACUUAAAUUUAUGCUGGAUUUUUGGAUUCAGGGGGAUCAUAGUGAAACUAGGAGCAUCAGCUGGAGCCAGCCACAGCCCAAACUUCUUGUACACAGCUCUGCUAAAGGAACUUUGUCCUGACCUGCAAGGCUCCUGCCAUCCCAGUAUUGGGCCUCAGAGCCCUGCCAAUACAACUUGAUACUGCUGCA